GAGUGACGCUAACCGGCAAAGGGGACGGCCUAACGACCGGCGACGAGUUCAUGACUGGGUG
RNAcentral lists this ribosomal RNA (61 nucleotides) under uncultured bacterium. RNAcentral describes it as "partial 16S ribosomal RNA". The record is from RNAcentral.